UAUUCUGCCCCACGGGGAAGGAUGAGAAGCUUCGACUAAGGUUCGACUCGAGCGAAGCGAGAGAACGUUGCCGCAGGCAACGGCCCGAAGGGCGAGGCGCGUUAGCGCCGAGUUAUCCUUCCCCCACCACCA
RNAcentral lists this small RNA (132 nucleotides) under Klebsiella pneumoniae. RNAcentral describes it as "RtT sRNA". It matches the Rfam family "RtT RNA". Rfam says of the family: This family represents a bacterial cis-regulatory element known as RtT RNA. The exact function of RtT is unknown although it is thought that it may be involved in changing the cellular response in relation to amino acid starvation. Lineage: Bacteria; Pseudomonadati; Pseudomonadota; Gammaproteobacteria; Enterobacterales; Enterobacteriaceae. The record is from RNAcentral.